AUUGAACGCUGGCGGCAGGCCUAACACAUGCAAGUCGAACGGUAACAGGAAGAAGCUUGCUUCUUUGCUGACGAGUGGCGGACGGGUGAGUAAUGUCUGGGAAACUGCCUGAUGGAGGGGGAUAACUACUGGAAACGGUAGCUAAUACCGCAUAACGUCGCAAGACCAAAGAGGGGGACCUUCGGGCCUCUUGCCAUCGGAUGUGCCCAGAUGGGAUUAGCUAGUAGGUGGGGUAACGGCUCACCUAGGCGACGAUCCCUAGCUGGUCUGAGAGGAUGACAAGCCCCACUGGAACUGAGACACGGUCCAGACUCCUACGGGAGGCAGCAGUGGGGAAUAUUGCACAAUGGGCGCAAGCCUGAUGCAGCCAUGCCGCGUGUAUGAAGAAGGCCUUCGGGUUGUAAAGUACUUUCAGCGGGGAGGAAGGGAGUAAAGUUAAUACCUUUGCUCAUUGACGUUACCCGCAGAAGAAGCACCGGCUAACUCCGUG
Molecule: ribosomal RNA, 490 nt
Filed under: uncultured bacterium
Lineage: Bacteria
Description: partial 16S ribosomal RNA
Rfam family: Bacterial small subunit ribosomal RNA
Source: RNAcentral